This 484-nucleotide ribosomal RNA is filed under the name uncultured bacterium. RNAcentral's name for it is "partial 16S ribosomal RNA". It matches the Rfam family "Bacterial small subunit ribosomal RNA", at positions 30 to 507 of the family's 1533-position model. The record is from RNAcentral.
AUUGAACGCUAGCGGGAUGCUUUACACAUGCAAGUCGAACGGCAGCGCGGACUUCGGUCUGGCGGCGAGUGGCGAACGGGUGAGUAAUGUAUCGGAACGUGCCCAGUAGCGGGGGAUAACUACGCGAAAGCGUAGCUAAUACCGCAUACGCCCUACGGGGGAAAGCAGGGGAUCGUAAGACCUUGCACUAUUGGAGCGGCCGAUUUCGGAUUAGCUAGUUGGUGAGGUAAAGGCUCACCAAGGCGACGAUCCGUAGCUGGUCUGAGAGGACGACCAGCCACACUGGGACUGAGACACGGCCCAGACUCCUACGGGAGGCAGCAGUGGGGAAUAUUGGACAAUGGGGGCAACCCUGAUCCAGCCAUCCCGCGUGUGCGAUGAAGGCCUUCGGGUUGUAAAGCACUUUUGGCAGGAAAGAAGCGUCGCGGGCUAAUACCCCGUGGAACUGACGGUACCUGCAGAAUAAGCACCGGCUAACUACGUG